UUAAAGUUGUUGGAGUUAAAAAGCCCGUAGUUGGACUUGUGGCAUCACUGGUGGAUUGAUUGUAUCAUUACCGUUCAGUAUUGUCUUCCUAGGGUGGAACUUGUGGGGCAUUAGGUUGUCUUGCAAGGUAUGUCCUUCAUUUACUGUGAAAAAAUUAGGGUGUUCAAAGCAGGCUUAGGCCAUUGGAUAGACUAGCAUGGAAUAAUGAGAUAGGACUUUGGUGCUAUUUUGUUGGUUUGUGCACUUAUGUAAUGAUUAAUAGGGAUAGUUGACGGUAUUUGUAUUCCAUUGUCAGAGGUGAAAUUCUUGGAUUUUUGGGAGACGAACUACUGCGAAAGCAUUUACCAAGGAUGUUUUCACUAAUCAAGAACGAAAGUUAGGGGAUCGAAGAUGAUUAGAUACCAUCGUAGUCUUAACCAUAAACUAUGCCAGUUAGGGAUUGGCAGGGCAUCAUUAUGUCUCUUUCAGCACCUCAUGAGAAAUCAUUAAACUUUUGGGUUCCGGGGGGAGUAUGGUCGCAAGGCUGAAACUUAAAGAAAUUGACCGAAGGGCACCACCAGGAGUGGAGCCUGCGGCUUAAUUUGACUCAACACGGGGAAACUUACCAGGUCCAGACAUAAUGAGGAUUGACAGAUUGAGAGUUCUUUCUUGAUCUAUGGGUGGUGU
RNAcentral lists this ribosomal RNA (666 nucleotides) under uncultured stramenopile CLEAR-21. RNAcentral's name for it is "bacterial SSU rRNA". It matches the Rfam family "Eukaryotic small subunit ribosomal RNA", at positions 604 to 1280 of the family's 1831-position model. Lineage: Eukaryota; Bacillariophyta. The record is from RNAcentral.